RNAcentral lists this long non-coding RNA (1665 nucleotides) under Mus musculus (house mouse). RNAcentral's name for it is "predicted gene, 47163". Lineage: Eukaryota; Metazoa; Chordata; Mammalia; Rodentia; Muridae. The record is from RNAcentral.
CGGCCGCCGAGGAGCCCCGGCUGAGCCUGGUCCAGAGCCGUGCGCUCCUCCCCGCCGAGUGAUGUCACCGCUCCGCGCAGCGCGCAGCCGCGGGGGGCUACACUCCUGGGACCCCGACCCUGUUCUGGCAGCGCCGCCUCCGACCUAGCGCAGCCUGCCGGGGCUCCCCGAGGGAAUGUCCAGUCAGGCUCAGACCGAUGGGGAAACUGAGGACAGGGGUCGCAUACACGGGGCGGGGCGCCAUUCUUCAACUUCCAAGUCUCUGCCUUCACUCCAGCAGCAUCCUAUCCUCCCUUCUUUUCUUCUAAAUAGAGAAACUAAGGCCUGAAGUCGCAGGUGCAGGGAGUGAUCCCCUAACCCCGAGGCCACCCUUCACCACUGUUCCAGCAACAUCCUGCCCUUCUUUACUUCUAAGUUGAGAAACUGAGGCCUGGCUUUGUAGAGCUAUCCUCCGGCCCCUAAGUAUCCCUUAAGCCACUGUUCCACCGGGUUUGCUCAGUGAGGAAACCGAGGGCUAGGGUAAGGAUAAGGCACAAAAGGGAACUUGAGGUCUGGGUGGUAGAGGCAGGAUGAGACUAUCCGGGUCCUUGACACGUUCAGUCAUAUCCUGCCCAACUUUACUUCUAAAUAGGGUCCAAAUAGGGCCUGGGCCAGUGCACAGGCUGGGGUCCAGGACAAGAGAACCUCAGACUCAGAGGGUACCCCCUCCAACUGAACCUUCUUUACUGGUUAGUGGGAAAACUGAACCCUGGAGCAAGGCCAAGGCUUAAAGGGAAACUGAGGCCUGGAAGUGAAGCAAGUGCCCAGGACACCGCGGGUGGCGCUGCGUCUGGAGAAGUCUAAAGGUGACCAUGGGUCGCUUCUGCUGGCUCCUGGCCUGUUUCCUAGGCUGUAAGCAAAGGACAUCCAUCGGUUCUUUGGGUUCAUAUUGGAACCCGAGGGUCAGAACUCUCAGGCCUGCCAACAGCCCCAGCCCAGGCUCAAGAGACCUCGGAGACACCGAUUCAGACCCCAAGGGGAUUCCUUCUGUGAGGGAAGGGGUUGUCAUCAUCACCCUGCCUCUGUCCCCCGCCCUUUCCAGGACAGUACUGCCGGGAAACAAAGAGAAGAGUGCUGGGCGGGGCAGGGUGCGGAGGAGGGGCAAGGCCGGCCAGAUCGAUGCGAGAGAAACUAGAUCACUGCCUGUGGAGGGGGCGGAGGCGCGCGCGCCUGGCUCUCAGCCACUUCCACACAGGCACUCUCAGGAGCCCAGCCAGGUCGCCUUUGGUGUUGUCUGCUGGAAGAGGAGCGCCACUGGGCUGAAGUCUGAAAAAUGGCUGUAGAAUCUAGCUGAUUAAGUGUGGACCAAGGCGUUCCCGGUCUGGGUGCACAAACAUCACUGAAUGGGGAGGUUAUAGGGCUGGCUCUACUCUUUAAUCUGCGGCAACAAAUGACGUAAAUAAUACUCUAAUAAACUCCUACACAUCCCUCAAAGCCCAGCUUCACAGUACCCCUUCCCAAGAACCUAACUGGUCCCAUGAUCCAAACCCAGGCUCUGUCUCUGGUCUCCUGCUGCCAGGGGCCCCCAUUUGCCCCAUCUGAACCGAAUGAGGUUUGCAAAGUUGUUUAGUGCUUUCUUUGCGGCGUGGUUAGAAGUGCUAAAUAAACCAAUGUGCACAAUGCUAA